Molecule: long non-coding RNA, 786 nt
Filed under: Podarcis lilfordi (Lilford's wall lizard)
Lineage: Eukaryota; Metazoa; Chordata; Lepidosauria; Squamata; Lacertidae
Source: RNAcentral
GGAUAUUCCAAGAAACAAGAAUCCUCGAAAAUAGUUUCAUUGGCUUUGGAAAAUAUUGAGUGGGUGAUGAACUUCAAAAGAAAUCAUUUGGUAGGAUUCAUCAAAUAAGUGAAGUGUUAUAAAAGUAAUUCUUGGAAAGUCACUUUCGAUGAGCACUAUCUAGUGUAGCAAAAGAAAGAAAUGCAGCAGGAAAUCAAUAGCUACACUUUCAUCUUCACCUCCAAUUGCUUUGCAGAACUGAACUUCCAGAUCGUGAUGCACAUUCCAGUGUGAGGGAUCGGAUCCAAUCAUUGUGCAUUCUGCAGGUUUCGGAUAAAGAUGAACUUUCCCAUUCAUCUUAGAAUUAACCUGUUCUAAGGUGCCAUAGGCCAUCACACCCAGCCCCCUGUUGUAUAAAGGAAAUCCAGAACUGUGAUAUCUUCAAAUAGAUGGCUGCUAGCUUCUCGAAGACCUCCAUUGAGAUACAUCAUCUCCCUCCCCAUGCCACACCAAGUAUUUGACACCAUUGUUGGAUGGCUCUUGUCAUCAAAAGGUUUCUCCAAAUGUUCCGGACAAAUCUGUAAUUAUAUUUUCUUGGCCUCUGGUUAGGAAUGGGUGAAUCUGCCAAUUUUGUUUUCUUUCUACUUCUUGUUUCUCAGUCUUAAAUUCAGUUCUUCACAUUUCCACAUCAGUUGGCAAUUUCCCCGCCAGCAUCUUAGUGAGAAUGUCUCCUACAAUACAUAUGUCUACAUGGAGUCUUCCACAAUAUUCACAUUUUUACCAACCAGUCCCACCAAAUAUUAGGCG